This 276-nucleotide ribosomal RNA is filed under the name Hannaella sinensis. RNAcentral's name for it is "partial 26S ribosomal RNA". It matches the Rfam family "Eukaryotic large subunit ribosomal RNA", at positions 1 to 269 of the family's 3401-position model. The record is from RNAcentral. Lineage: Eukaryota; Fungi; Basidiomycota; Tremellomycetes; Tremellales; Bulleribasidiaceae.
UUAGACCUCAAAUCAGGUAGGACUACCCGCUGAACUUAAGCAUAUCAAUAAGCGGAGGAAAAGAAACUAACAAGGAUUCCCCUAGUAGCGGCGAGCGAACCGGGAAGAGCUCAAAUUUAAAAUCUGGCGUCUUUCAGGCGUCCGAGUUGUAAUCUACAGAAGUGUUUUCCGUGCCGGACCGUGUCCAAGUCCCUUGGAAUAGGGUAUCAAAGAGGGUGACAAUCCCGUACUUGACACGACAACCGGUGCUCUGUGAUACAUUUUCUACGAGUCGAG